UUGCAGAGGAUGCUUUUGGCGAGGUGCCUUCCGAGUUCCCUGGAACGGGACGCCAUAGAGGGUGAGAGCCCCGUCUGGUCGGACACCGAGCCUCUGUAAAGCUCCUUCGACGAGUCGAGUAGUUUGGGAAUGCUGCUCAAAAUGGGAGGUAUAUGUCUUCUAAAGCUAAAUAUUGGCCAGAGACCGAUAGCGCACAAGUAGAGUGAUCGAAAGAUGAAAAGCACUUUGAAAAGAGGGUUAAAAAGUACGUGAAAUUGUUGAAAGGGAAGCGCCUAUGACCAGACUUGGGCCCGGUGAAUCAUCCAGCGUUCUCGCUGGUGCACUUUGCCGGGCACAGGCCAGCAUCGGUUUGGCCCGGGGGAGAAAGGCUUUGGNAACGUAGCUCCUCGNAGUGUUAUANCCGUUUGCACAAUACCCUGGNCCGGACUGAGGACCGCGCAUCUGCAAGGAUGCUGGCGUAAUGGUCAUCAUC
RNAcentral lists this ribosomal RNA (472 nucleotides) under soil fungal sp. DM104. RNAcentral's name for it is "eukaryotic LSU rRNA". It matches the Rfam family "Eukaryotic large subunit ribosomal RNA", at positions 150 to 645 of the family's 3401-position model. The record is from RNAcentral. Lineage: Eukaryota; Fungi.